Molecule: ribosomal RNA, 501 nt
Filed under: uncultured bacterium
Lineage: Bacteria
Description: partial 16S ribosomal RNA
Rfam family: Bacterial small subunit ribosomal RNA
Source: RNAcentral
AUUGAACGCUGGCGGCAUGCCUUACACAUGCAAGUCGAACGGCAGCACGGGUGCUUGCACCUGGUGGCGAGUGGCGAACGGGUGAGUAAUACGUCGGAACGUACCUUAUCGUGGGGGAUAACGCAGCGAAAGCUGUGCUAAUACCGCAUACGCCCUGAGGGGGAAAGCGGGGGAUCGCAAGACCUCGCGCGAUUAGAGCGGCCGAUGCCUGAUUAGCUUGUUGGUGGGGUAAAAGCCCACCAAGGAGACGAUCAGUAGCUGGUCUGAGAGGACGAGCAGCCACACUGGGACUGAGACACGGCCCAGACUCCUACGGGGGGCAGCAGUGGGUAAUUUUGGACAAUGGGGGCAACCCUGAUCCAGCAAUGCCGCGUGAGUGAAGAAGGCCUUCGGGUUGUAAAGCUCUUUUGUCAGGGAAGAAACACCGGCUCUAACACAGUCCGGGAAUGACGGUACCUGAAGAAUAAGCACCGGCUAACUACGUGCCAGCCGCCGCCGUAA